GCUGCCGGCACUUCCGGCGGUGGCCAUGGUGACGGCAGUAGGCAGGAAGACCGUUCAGAAAGGAAGACUUAUGGAUUUCACAAGCACGGUCAUCAUCCCGCUGCUUUUUGGCAGCUUGGGGAUCUUUGCCGUCUUUCGGCUGCUGCAGUGGAUGCGGAUGCGAGCUUACCUCCAGGAAGCUGUGGUCGUGGUCACAGGGGCUACCUCUGGCCUGGGAAAAGCUUCUUGAGGAGAAGACAAGGUGCUCUCUGCUAUCAAGGCCUUUCAUUAGGAUGAGUACACUCAUAGAACAAAUAGCUUAAACUGAUGCUGGUUUUGCAUGUGCGUUUGUCGUUGAAGGCAGUGCUGUUCAGUAACUGAAUGUCCAAAGGAGAUAGAAUCAUAGAAUUAGGUUGGAAGGGACCUUUAAGAUUAUCUAGUCCAACCAUCCACCUAACUCUGAUAAAAAACCGUCACUAAACCACGUCACUAAGCCCUAUGUCAGCCUGUCUUUUAAAUACCUCCAGGGAUGGUGCCUCAACCACUUCCCUGGGCAGCCCUUCCAAGGCUUAAUAACCCGUUCGGUGUAAAACCUUUUCCUAAUCUCCAAUCUGAACCUCCCCUGGUGCAACUUGAGGCCAUUUCCUCUUGUCCUGUUGCCUGUGUCUUGGGAGAAGAGACCAACCCCUGCCUCUCUACACCCUCCUUUCAGGUAGUUCUAGAAAGUGAAAUGGUCCUCUCUGCCUGUCACAACAAAAGAGCUGGGAGUGGUAAAAGAAUUUGUAUUUCACAUUAAGAAGAGAUAGAACUGGUAUCUCGGGAGGGACUUUCCAGCUGUGAUAGGCUGGGCAGAUGAAGCACUGUGUGGUGUUGGGUAUAGAUUUCCACCAUUGUACAGUGAAGUUUCCUCCCUUACUGACUCAUUGGC
Calidris pugnax (ruff) is the source of this 907-nucleotide long non-coding RNA. RefSeq lists it as uncharacterized. NCBI's taxonomy places the organism in Eukaryota, Metazoa, Chordata, Aves, Charadriiformes, Scolopacidae. The record is from RefSeq and is a predicted model, not a curated record. The transcript has 3 exons.